This 190-nucleotide unclassified non-coding RNA is filed under the name uncultured fungus. RNAcentral describes it as "sequence contains ITS1". Lineage: Eukaryota; Fungi. The record is from RNAcentral.
UUAACUAUUAUAUAGUACUCAGACAUCACUAAAAACAAGAGUUGUGGUCCUCUGGCGGGCACGUACUAGCCGAAGCCAGUAGCGCAAGCGCGGCCCGCCAAAGCAACAAAGGUAUGUAUUCAAGGGUGGGAGAUCUACCCGUAAGGGCAAGAACUCUGUAAUGAUCCUUCCGCAGGUUCACCUACGGAAA